Molecule: transfer RNA, 74 nt
Filed under: Verrucomicrobiota bacterium
Lineage: Bacteria; Pseudomonadati; Verrucomicrobiota
Description: Verrucomicrobia bacterium (mine drainage metagenome) tRNA-Pro
Rfam family: tRNA
About the family: Transfer RNA (tRNA) molecules are approximately 80 nucleotides in length. Their secondary structure includes four short double-helical elements and three loops (D, anti-codon, and T loops).
Source: RNAcentral
CGGGCUGUGGCGCAGUUUGGUAGCGCGCCUGCAUGGGGUGCAGGAGGCCGCUGGUUCGAAUCCAGUCAGCCCGA